GCAGAGGACGGCGCCACGGGAGCCAGCCCCUAGGUGGGGCCGGGGCCCAGACCUGGGCCCGGAAGGAUGCUGACCCCUCUCCCCACCCCAGGGCCCUGCGAACCAUUUGGUAACCCAAGUAAUGGCACAGGGGCGGCCUGACCCGUUGUCGCUGGUGCGUUCUUGGGUGCUGAAGCCCUGAUGGAUGUGCCAAGCCUGGGGUUUUUUCAGUUUUGUUUUCCUAUCUAGGUUCAUUUUUGCCCUGUCACUACUAGGCUAGAGAAAUAUAAAUCCUGAUUUCCCGCGGGAAGCAAUUAUUAUUAUUACUCUUUUUGCUUUCCCCGAGCAGUGGGACAUAGUAUGUGUUUGUUUGAUCUCGGGACGGUAUUUAGGCAGAUGACAUGGAAAGGGACUCACCCAAAAUGCUUGCAGCCAGCCACAGCUGCUCAUCCUUUAUACCGGUUACCCAGCCCGAAUUUCCUAAAUCUAUGUUGUCUCUAUUUCAAAUGUUAUCUCCUAAUUUAGGACAAGAAUGCGUUUUUCAUUCUUCGUCUGCCCGCUACCCAACCCUCUCCAACCUAGAACUCUUCACUGAGGGACUACAGCAUUCCCACAAGAAAUGUGUUUUGUGUGUGUGUGUGAGGAAGAUUGGCCCUGAGCUAACAUCUGUUGCCAAUCUUCUUUUUUUUUUUGCUUGAGUAAGAUUGUCCGUGAACUAACAUCUGUGUCAGUCUUCCUCUAUUUUAUGUGGGAUCCCUCCACAGCGUGGCUUGAAGAGCGCCACUAGGUCCAUGCCCAGGAUCCAAACCUGCAAAUCCUGGGCUGCCAAACCAGAGCACAUGAACUGGCAGAGCUAUGCCACCGGGCUGGCCCACAUAAGGAAUGUUUUAAAAACAGCAGUUUCCAAACUGAGCAGGCAAAAACACCUGUAAACGGUAAUAACAUAAUACCUCCGUAUUUGGGGAGGCAAAGACUUUUGGAAGGCAAUUUGCUUUGAUAACAAACCUAAUGGAAUCCAUGAUGAGCUUUCCAUCAGGCUUGUAGGAAGUGACCAACCAUAACCCCAUCCGUAAAAGCUGGCUUGCCAAGAGAGUGCAAAGAGGUACAAAGUUUUGAUGUCUCUUCUUGGCCCCUAUUUAAGACCCAGUAAGGAGUAGGGUAAUUUGUCCAUUAUGGUGGGAAGAACCAGUUCACACCAAGAUUGUGGUAAGUCUAGAUUCAUUCUUCUAAGACAGAUUCACUAAGAAGGCAGCCCCUCAAACACACCUGCCUGUUUUGCCACCUCCCCCAGGCAUAGAGGCAGAACAGCUGCAGACCACCAGGGGUCAGGAGGCCAUGCAUGAAAUGGCUUGCUGAAUAGGAGCAAGAGCUGACUGAGCACCUAUCUAGUACUUUGCCUCUCUGGGGGAGGCAGGAGAGGGUUGUGAGGAGGCAAACACCCCAGCCUAGAAGAAUCCAGUCAGAAAUCAAGAUGGUUCCCAUGGGUGGCAGGCACUCCCCCUAGCCUGUUCAGAGCUGCAUCUUUGUCCUUCUAGACUCAGGUACUAGGCCCUGGUGCUAGCUGUGGCUUAAGAAGACCUGAUUCUGGGCGAGAGCCCUGGCCAGCCCCCAUUCAAUUCCCUGUGAACUGUUGAAAAGGCUGGAUGGAGGGACAAAGCAAAAUCCUUAUGCAAGACAAAACAGUGGGGUGGGGACAGGAAUGGGGACAAAUUAAAUGAUAGAGGAGGAAACAAUUGGACAAAUGCAGAAUGAGGGAUAUUCUGUCUCAGACCACCAAGUACCCUGGUCUCUUGAAAAAAGUCAAUGUCGUAAAAGAGAAUAGGUGGAAGGAACAGAGGCUAAAGAAACCUAAUAAUGAAAUCCAAUUAAUGAAUUUUAAUUUGAUCACAAGGGGAUGGUUAGAGCUAUCAAAGGCAUGGGGACAAUUUGGGGACAUCUGAAUAUGGGGCUAUGAGGAAAUUAUUGUUGAUUUCCUUAGGUGUGAUAACAAUGUAGUGGUUAUGGAAGAGAAUGUCCUUAUUAUUACGAGAAAUAUGAACACGGAGUAAAACGUGACACAGGAACUUAAUUUCAAGGUUCCACAAGGCAUAGAGAAUGAGAAAGAAAAUAUGACAAGAGGUUAACUGCCCUACCAAGCAGCGGGUACUCGAUUAUCACUGUACCAUUAUCUUCAACUUUUGUGUUUGAUAUUUUUCUAAAUAAAACGUUGGAGGGAAAGUGCCUCAAUACCACCUAGCCACCCUUUAAACAGGGUUAAAUCUAGUUCAAGAGGUACUUACUGGGACCACCAAAUUUCCAUUAUCCAUAGUUAAAAUCACAAGGAUCAUGACUGGAUCCCUUAGGAUCCAAGAGUCAUUCUAUGCUCAAAAGCAGCAAAACUCCUUCCACCUCAAAGCCAGAGUCAAGUCUACUGUCUAAAACUGAGCCAGAUUAGGAAGAAUUAGAGAAUUGUGGUUACCUCUAGGCAGAGGAAAUGGGUGGCUGGGAAACAGGCAUGGGAGAGAGUUACUGAGAAACUGGGGGUCACCCUACUGGCCAGAGAGUAAAUAUUUUAAGCUUCAUGGGCAACCAUACUGUGUCUCUUCGCACAUUUUUUUUUUUUGCUGAGGUAGAGUCACCCUGAGCUAACAUCUGUUGCCAAUCUUUCUCUUUUUGGAGCUGCCACCACAGCAUGACCACUGACAGAUUACUGGUGUAGGUCGACGCUU
Equus asinus (donkey) is the source of this 2687-nucleotide long non-coding RNA. NCBI's taxonomy places the organism in Eukaryota, Metazoa, Chordata, Mammalia, Perissodactyla, Equidae. The record is from Ensembl.